This is a non-coding RNA of Triticum aestivum (bread wheat), 135 nucleotides long. Lineage: Eukaryota; Viridiplantae; Streptophyta; Magnoliopsida; Poales; Poaceae. The record is from Rfam.
UAACUACUCCCUCUCUCCUAAAUUUCUUGUCUUAGAUUUGUCUAGAUACGGAUGUAUCUAAUACUAAAAUGUGACUUGAUACAUCCGUAUCUAGACAAAUCUAAGACAAGAAUUUUGGGAUGGAGGGAGUACUUU